GGGUGGGACUUUCAUUUUCCAAACAGUGUCCCACUCUCAUCUAAAACCUCCUCCACAUCCUUGACGUAUUACAGGUUUUCCCUCAGCUAGUGCAUAGGCACUAGAUUCAUCCCGUUCUUCUUCUCCAUUAUUGAGUGGUCCUUGGAUAAGGCGUCUAGUUGCAUCUUCCCCAGGAUUUGAUCAACUCACCGUUUCUAACCACCCAUCUCUGCCCUUGUUUUAAUAGCCCAGAGCCUAUCGCUUUCUUUUUAUAUUGUGCCACCCUAAUUUCACCCUGAAAGCAGUAUGUUUAGACUUAGAGUCUUUGAUCCCCAAGUCUACCACCGUGCUUUUCUGUUUUGGCCGUCUUCCAAUUAACGAGGUGUAGUUUCGAGUUAUACGCCUUGUAUUGUAGGCGAAAGCAAGUUAGCUUUCUAACCACUAAGUUCAGUUCUCACUUUUGUCCACAAUCAAACUGUAGUUUGGCUUUGUUACCCUCUUUGUGUCAAUGGGAAACUAAACCCUCAAACUCUCAAUGCAAAGGGCGUUGCAAAUAGUAUAAUAAUACAUCACAAUGUUUGCUUUUCUUUGGGAUUAAGACAAAGGCAUAUAUGUUUGGUUUCAUGAAGGUGAAUUUUAUGUUUGUUCUUUUGUUAGCUAUGAAUUGCCUAGUGCAUUAGUUUUAAUUCAUCAAAGAACUGAACUCAUCAUAAAUAUGUUUCUCCAUUUGAUCUUGCAUGUAGUCUAGUCCCCAACUCCUGAGGAUGUAUUUUGUUAUAUUUGAGGAAGGUUUCCCAAUACUGAUUCAGCAUUUCUGAUCUGGCACGGGGAAUUGUGGAUUUGAACAGAGGUGGCAUGUCUAGCUGUUUAUGCUGGGACAUAUAUUAGAAUCAUUGCUUCAUUCCCAUUCGAGUUUGGUUCUUGGGACAUAUUUGGAGUUUAAAAAGUUGCAUAAAUUCACAAGAAAUGCGUGGAAUAGUGGCUUCAUAUAGAGGUAAGAAAGGAUGAUAGAGAUUGUCUAAUUAGCCGUAACUAUUUAAGAUUUCCAUAGGAUUCGUUAUUUUUGUUCACCCUCAAAUACCCUCUACAGUGUAACAGGCUGCUGACCAAGACCAAUAGUGCGGCUUUUUUUAAUAAAUAAUUCAAAAAUUAAAAAUUAAAAACUGAAAUGACAUGCCCAUUAGAUUAUUUAUCAAAAUAUUAUUAUUUUUCUGGUGCUACCUGUCAAAUUGGCGGCACCAGACUAAAAUAUAAUAAUUUAAAGUAUUUAGGGACCUGAUAUGAAAUUUAUCAUUUUGAGUGACUAUGAAGAAAAAGUGAAAGGGUGUCGCUGUGUGGUGGCACCAAACUUUAAUAUUUACUUUGGGUAAAAUAUGUUUACUUUAAUAUUAAAAUAAAGGGUUUUUAUGAAUAAAAAUCAUAGGUUAAUAGCUUAUUUAACUACAAAAAUAGGUUGAGGGCUUAUUUAAAUACAAUGUAGUGAGUUGAAAGGGAAUAAAAAGAAAAUAAUAAAUAAGGAGGGUUUAAAAGGCAAUUAGUCACAUUUAAAGUUUGGUGCCGCCGCAUUUUUUCACUUUUCUUUUCAGCAGCCACUCAAAAGGGUAAAUUUUCAUAUCAAGUCCCUGAAUACUUUAGAUCAUUGCAUUUCAGUCCAGUGACACCAAUUUGACCGGUGGUACCAAAAAAAAAAACUAUACCAUUUUGGUAAAUAAUCUUAUGGGCAUAUCUUAUUAAUUUUAUUUUUAUAUUAUUUAGGUGAAAAAGCCCCAAUAGUGCUUAACUACAGCUUUUUUUUCAGCUUUGGUUAUUUAUUCAUCUUUGUUUAGACACAAGUACAUUUAUGUUUGUAGAACAACUUUAGUUGUCUAUUUUGCUCUGCAAGUGGUCCCAAAGUGGUGUGCUAGUUUCUCCAAUUUCACAUGCCGAAGGCUGGUUCUGUUUUCUAAUGAAUUGGUUUUUGUGCAAAAGAGUUUUUCAAUGCCUUUGAAUGCUAGCACUGCCGAUGGGAUUUCUUUUUUAUUUUUUGGCCUCAUGCGGAGCAGAUGUAGCUGCCCCAAAUAAAUUGAUAUCUACAGUGGGCAUAUACUCUUUGUUCAACAUGUAAAACAAUGGUACACAAUGGGUGCCCCACUUGUAGUAGACAGGAGCUUGGUGAUAUUUAGAAGUGUUCAAAUGGUUAGUUUGGUUAAUAUUCCAACCAAAUUACCCAAAAUAUUAAAAUCUUUAACUAUUAACUGAAUCAAUUUUUUUCAAAUACAUUAACCGUAUCGAAAUAUUUCGAUUAAUUCGGUCAAUUUUGCAGUUAUAUAGCCUAGAAGUUAGGGGGGAAUGACAAGAAACUCAUUUGGGAAGGCACCCCGAGCAGUGUAAGAGGUUGCCAUGAAUCAUGAUAGCCUCAUCAUGCAACGUAACUUCGGUGGGACAGGAAAGAGUCGAAGCUACGAGUAUGGAGAUGGAUACGGAAAGAACAACAAACCCAGGAGGAGGUGCAUGCAUACCCAAUCUCUGUAGUUAAAAUGCCCAGCUGGAUCCCUGCUUCACAUCCCCAUAAUACUUGUUAUAUAUUCUUGUAAUAUUUAAAGUAGCUUGCAGUUAACAUUAAGGAUUCUUGAACUCUAUCGACAUUGGAGGCUUAAAUCUUUUUAUAACUAGACAAUAAGCUUAAUCUCUGUAGAACUAUUGAGACGUGGAAUCUAAAUCUAGUUGAAGAAGCUCAAAAGAUGACAGUAUAAACUAGUUGACUUAAUUCCUACCAUUUCAAUGUCUACUUUUGUUCUUUUCAGAACGAAGAUGAAGCUCAAAAGGCCUACCAAGACUCACUUCAUAUACCUAACCUGAGUGAGAAGUGACAUCGAAAUUGACCACAGUUGAGGACUCCUUCUGAUCUAUUUCCUUGGCCUCCCACGUUUCAACGUGCAAU
This 2899-nucleotide long non-coding RNA is filed under the name Gossypium barbadense (sea-island cotton). Its description in RNAcentral is "long non-coding RNA (GBAR_LNC017867)". Lineage: Eukaryota; Viridiplantae; Streptophyta; Magnoliopsida; Malvales; Malvaceae. The record is from RNAcentral.